RNAcentral lists this ribosomal RNA (450 nucleotides) under uncultured bacterium. RNAcentral's name for it is "bacterial SSU rRNA". It matches the Rfam family "Bacterial small subunit ribosomal RNA", at positions 354 to 796 of the family's 1533-position model. The record is from RNAcentral.
GUCGAGAAUAAUUCACAAUGGACGAAAGUCUGAUGGUGCAACGCCGCGUGGAGGAUGAAGGUCUUCGGAUUGUAAACUCCUGUCAUCGGGGAGUAAGACCUGGCGGUAAAUAGCCGACAGGGUUGAUAGUACCCGAAGAGGAAGGGACGGCUAACUUCGUGCCAGCAGCCGCGGUAAUACGAAGGUCCCAAGCGUUGUUCGGAAUCACUGGGCGUAAAGGGAGCGUAGGCGGCGUGGUAAGUCAGAUGUGAAAUCCCGGGGCUCAACCCCGGAACUGCAUCCGAUACUGCCAUGCUUGAGGGUUGGAGAGGUAGCUGGAAUUCUCGGUGUAGCAGUGAAAUGCGUGGAUAUCGAGAGGAACACUCGUGGCGAAGGCGAGCUACUGGACAACAUCUGACGCUGAGGCUCGAAGGCCAGGGGAGCAAAAGGGAUUAGAUACCCCAGUAGUCC